CCUUAAUAUAAAUCCUGGACCCCAGAAUUCUUACUUUCUCUUCUGAGGAACGCAACCUGUGACAGAGAAUCACUGAUCCUUUAUUGAUGAGAGUCUGGGUCACUCCAGCAGGACCAGAGUACAAGAUUAAGGAGAUUGAUGUUCCUCCAUGUUAUGUUAACCGUGGACCAAACAAAAUACCUUUCUUCUUCUGCCUCCUUGGGCACUGAGAUGUCACAGAUGCUGUAAAGGUUCAGGAGCUUGGAUAGGGCAUUGAUCUUUAAAACACUCUCAUCAUCACGGAGCAAACCAAACAAAAUUAUCUCUCUUGUUUGUGAAGCCAAAUGGGGUAUUAACUGCUACAGGAUCAGAAAAUCAUUUCCAACAAAGACUAUUCAAAAGGAUAUUCACAGAUAAGUGGCGUUGCAUAUCAUAAUUCAAGUCUGCAUUUCAAGCUGAGGAAGAACUAAAGUAAGCUGGAAGAAUCUCUUCUUUAGGACCACUGAGAGUUUAAAGAGUCUCUGGAGACACAAGAUCAUAAAAUUAUUUCACAGUGA
Molecule: long non-coding RNA, 536 nt
Organism: Herpailurus yagouaroundi (jaguarundi)
Lineage: Eukaryota; Metazoa; Chordata; Mammalia; Carnivora; Felidae
Exons: 4
Source: RefSeq, a predicted model, not a curated record